CCUACGGGUGGCAGCAGUGAGGAAUAUUGGUCAAUGGGCGUAAGCCUGAACCAGCCAAGUCGCGUGAGGGAUGAAGGUUCUAUGGAUCGUAAACCUCUUUUAUAAGGGAAUAAAGUGCGGGACGUGUCCCGUUUUGUAUGUACCUUAUGAAUAAGGAUCGGCUAACUCCGUGCCAGCAGCCGCGGUAAUACGGAGGAUCCGAGCGUUAUCCGGAUUUAUUGGGUUUAAAGGGUGCGUAGGCGGCCUUUUAAGUCAGCGGGGAAAGUCUGUGGCUCAACCAUAGAAUUGCCGUUGAAACUGGGAGGCUUGAGUAUGUUUGAGGCAGGCGGAAUGCGUGGUGAAGCGGUGAAAUGCUUAGAUAUAACGCAGAACCCCGAUUGCGAAGGCAGCCUGCCAAGCCAUGACUGACGCUGAGGCACGAAAGCGUGGGGAUCAAACAGGAUUAGAUACCCGGGUAGUC
Molecule: ribosomal RNA, 460 nt
Filed under: uncultured bacterium
Lineage: Bacteria
Description: partial 16S ribosomal RNA
Rfam family: Bacterial small subunit ribosomal RNA
Source: RNAcentral